This 487-nucleotide ribosomal RNA is filed under the name uncultured bacterium. RNAcentral describes it as "bacterial SSU rRNA". It matches the Rfam family "Bacterial small subunit ribosomal RNA", at positions 30 to 506 of the family's 1533-position model. The record is from RNAcentral.
AUUGAACGCUGGCGGCAUGCCUUACACAUGCAAGUCGAACGGCAGCGGGGGUGCUUGCACCUGCCGGCGAGUGGCGAACGGGUGAGUAAUACAUCGGAACGUACCCUGAAGUGGGGGAUAACGUAGCGAAAGUUACGCUAAUACCGCAUAUUCUGUGAGCAGGAAAGCAGGGGAUCGCAAGACCUUGCGCUGAUUGAGCGGCCGAUGUCAGAUUAGCUAGUUGGUGAGGUAAAGGCUCACCAAGGCGACGAUCUGUAGCGGGUCUGAGAGGAUGAUCCGCCACACUGGAACUGAGACACGGUCCAGACUCCUACGGGAGGCAGCAGUGGGGAAUUUUGGACAAUGGGGGCAACCCUGAUCCAGCCAUGCCGCGUGAGUGAAGAAGGCCUUCGGGUUGUAAAGCUCUUUCGGUCCGGGAAGAAAUCGUAUGGGCUAAUACCCUGUGCGGAUGACGGUACCGGCAUAAGAAGCACCGGCCUAACUACGU